This 454-nucleotide long non-coding RNA is filed under the name Lathyrus oleraceus (garden pea). RNAcentral describes it as "Pisum sativum (pea) long non-coding RNA (PSAT_LNC034202)". Lineage: Eukaryota; Viridiplantae; Streptophyta; Magnoliopsida; Fabales; Fabaceae. The record is from RNAcentral.
CUACCAGUUAGAAGUUAUCCGAAUCAGAAAUCCUGAGGACCCAAUCUAAAGGUAUUCUUGAAGAUCAGAUAUAUCAACACGUGGCCUCUCUUGGAUAUGACCUUGGAUCUUCUAGACAACUGUCUAUCACAAAACUCAAGAGACAGACUAUUGAGAUCUCCUCGAGUAGUGUGCAAAUUUAUGGGAUUAGACAUCCAUCAUUAGCUGUAAUUAAUUUUCCCCUUAGCGUGUCAACUCAAUUUUUGUGCCAUUAUUCAAUUGUUGUUUAAUAUUCCCAUGAAAUGGUGUCGUUUUUCAUGCGAAUCUUGUGUACUAAUACUUGUCACAAUUGUCACUUUCACACUUUUCACUCACUUCCUACACAAACUAUCACUCUCAACUCUCUCUCAUUCUUCAAGCAUUCUUCAAGUGUUCAUCAGUUUAUUCUUCAUUUACUACAUGGAUUCUCAACAAU